This 510-nucleotide ribosomal RNA is filed under the name uncultured bacterium. Its description in RNAcentral is "partial 16S ribosomal RNA". It matches the Rfam family "Bacterial small subunit ribosomal RNA", at positions 28 to 507 of the family's 1533-position model. The record is from RNAcentral.
GACGAACGCUGGCGGCGUGCUUAACACAUGCAAGUCGAACGAAGAGCGAUGGAAGCUUGCUCCUAUCAAUCUUAGUGGCGAACGGGUGAGUAACGCGUAAUCAACCUGCCCUUCAGAGGGGGACAACAGUUGGAAACGACUGCUAAUACCGCAUACGAUCUAAACUCGGCAUCGAGGAUAGAUGAAAGGUGGCCUCUACAUGUAAGCUAUCACUGAAGGAGGGGAUUGCGUCUGAUUAGCUAGUUGGAGGGGUAACGGCCCACCAAGGCGAUGAUCAGUAGCCGGUCUGAGAGGAUGAACGGCCACAGUGGGACUGAGACACGGCCCAGACUCCUACGGGAGGCAGCAGUGGGGAAUCUUCCGCAAUGGACGAAAGUCUGACGGAGCAACGCCGCGUGAGUGAUGACGGCCUUCGGGUUGUAAAGCUCUGUUAAUCGGGACGAAAGGCCUUCUUGCGAAUAGUGAGAAGGAUUGACGGUACCGGAAUAGAAAGCCACGGCUAACUACGUG